RNAcentral lists this ribosomal RNA (253 nucleotides) under uncultured bacterium. Its description in RNAcentral is "partial 16S ribosomal RNA". It matches the Rfam family "Bacterial small subunit ribosomal RNA", at positions 524 to 776 of the family's 1533-position model. The record is from RNAcentral.
UACGGAGGGUGCAAGCGUUAAUCGGAAUUACUGGGCGUAAAGCGCCCGCAGGCGGUCUGUCAAGUCAGAUGUGAAAUCCCCGGGCUCAACCCGGGAAUGGCAAUCGAAACUGGCAGACUAGAGUCAUGAAGAGGUGGGUAGAAUUUGAGGUGUAGCGGUGAAAUGCGUAGAGAUUUGGAGGAAUACCGGUGGCGAAGGCGGCCCACUGCACGAAGAUUGACGCUCAGGUGCGAAAGCGUGGGUAGCAAACAGG